Molecule: long non-coding RNA, 1181 nt
Filed under: Chrysemys picta bellii (western painted turtle)
Lineage: Eukaryota; Metazoa; Chordata; Testudines; Emydidae
Description: lncRNA (ENSCPBG00000019951.1)
Source: RNAcentral
GUAAAUAAAUAUAUAUAUAUAGUUUUUUUUAAAGCUGACUCUUCUUUUAACAGUUUUUUCCCCCAAGAUGAAGCAUAAAAUAACCACUGAGCCUACAGAGAAAUGGUAUUCUUUGUGAUAUCUAAUAUCAGUCUUUCAUACUUCAAGUAUGGACUUUCCUAAGCAGAAAUUCCAGUGCUAAUGGUUGAGGAUUUCCCCUGGCACUCCCCCUUCUGACUCUGACUUAAGGUAGUGAGUCUAGCAGGGCACAUUAGGGACAGUCCCUGUGCAAAGUGGGGAAUUCAAGGCUGGGGGCUGCAUGGUACUGUUGUGAAUGGACAACAACAUGUGCUCAAGUUCUUUCUGAAGAGGGUGAUAAAAAGUGGCAUUUCCUCCUAAACUGGUAUGUGUGUUGCUGUAACGCCUUGAAGCAAUAGAUAAGGGAAGGAGAGGGGAGGGAGUUAAGCAGUGAGCAGAUGGAUGAACGAUUAGAUCAUUUGGAUUAGGAAUGGGGUUUUUUUACACUGAACUCUCUCUUUUCUCAUUCCUUUCUGAUCAGAUUCUCUAUAUACAGAGAGAGUUGAAGCUGCUUAAAAUAGAGAAAAGAAACGUCGUAGCUGGAUUUAGUUGCAAACUAUGAGUACUGAACAAGACAAAGGAAUGAAAUGCUGAUAGCUCCUUACUUUGGAGAGUGACUGAAAGAAAACAGAUCAUUCAUACAGUAUACAACAAAGGCAUUUUAUAAUCUGAUUUGUCUACCUGUGAUGAAGAAUUUUAGUUAAUGGAAGCUGCAGCAGUCUGUCACCAGGAAAUAUACUGCUUUAUUCAGAAUGGGUCCCAGGAGGUGUUGCGGAAGGGCAAAGGAGGCUGGACAUCUCCUCUACACUCUCACAACUCCUGCAGUUCCUAGGGCUAGGCAACUUUUCCAACUCGCCUCCAUGUGCAAUGACUUCCAAGGGGUAGCUGUGGCAGCUGGGGACUGCUGGAGCACACUGCACUCUGACCAUGCCUUCCUCCCCUUACAAAUCUACUGCGGUAUGGUACGGAGCCAGCAAUGCCAGUUCUACACCCCCUGGAAUUCUCCUACACCAGAGCUUGAAGGCUCUUUUGUGCUGCUAGAAAAACCUAAAGCAGCCUUAUCAGGGCUGAGCAGCCACCCCCUUGUCUUCGUCCUCACCUGCAAAGCAUCUAGCCUGCUAUGA